This 2565-nucleotide ribosomal RNA is filed under the name Graphis lineola. Its description in RNAcentral is "bacterial LSU rRNA". It matches the Rfam family "Bacterial large subunit ribosomal RNA". The record is from RNAcentral. Lineage: Eukaryota; Fungi; Ascomycota; Lecanoromycetes; Ostropales; Graphidaceae.
UGUCUAAUAAUAUUAUGGAAUGUAUUAAAUUUGUGUUUAAUAUAACACAAAAAGUAUAUAAAGGGAUUAUUAUUAGUAUCUUAGCUAUAUAUUAAAGGAAGAUUAUUUUUAAUUUGUGAAAGUGUAUUUAACUUAGCACAUGAAUCCUUAGAGAAAUUAAAUAAUAAACGAAGUGAAUUGAAAUAUCUAAGUAACUUUAGGAAAAGAAAUCAAAAGAGAUUCUAUGAUUAGUGUGAAUGAAAGUAGAUGAGCCUAUAUCAGUAUAUGAUAUUAUUAAAGUUAAAUAAACUAAAUAGAUGAUGGCUUUUUAAUGUUAUAUUUAUAUAGAUAUAUAAUAAGUAAAACGGAGUAUAUAUCUGUUUAAAAAAAGGGGAACCUUCCUCUAAGGCUAAAUAUAAUGUAUAAGCGAUAGAGAAUAGUACCGUGAGGGAAAAGACGAAAUAGUAAUUCUAUAAGCAGCUCGAAUAUUAAGUAAUAAAAUAUAAGAGCGUACCUUUUGUAUAAUGGGUCAGCAAGUUAAUAUUAGAUGCGAGCUAGAUAAAAGCGAAGAUAAACUAACUAUGACCUACUGAUUAGUAUCUAAUAUUAGACCCGAAAUCUAGUGAUCUUACCAUUAUCAGGAAUAAAGUCCGAACGGGUUAUCGUUGUAAAGAUAUCCGAAGAAUUGUGGUAAGUAAGUGAAAGACAAAACUGACUAGACAAUAGCUGGUUUUCUACGAAACCUAUAUUAGUAGGCGGUUAUAAUAAUAUCAAGGCAGGUACAGCGAUGUAAUCUUAAUAUACGAUUUAAUAAAUUUUAUAUUAUUGCGGGGGCCUGAGAAUCCUACAAUUAAGUAUUUGCACUCGAAAGGGCUUUGAUAAAUGUUAGACUGUCAGACAUAGUACGAUAAGGUUGUAUGUCUAAAGGGAAACAGCCCAGAACAAGAGUUAAUAAGGUUCCUAAAUUAUUGUCAAGUGAAAUAAAGGUAGUGUUUAUCUUAUCCGGCCAGGAAGUGGGCUUAGGAGCGGCCAUCUUUUAAAGACCUCGUAAUAGAGCACUGGCUUAUAUAUUAAGGGCGCCUAAAAUUUAACGGAUCUAAACAAUAUACCGAAACCUUGUCCAUAUAUAAUAUAUAUGGGGUAGUAGAACAUAGGGUAAGUAUUAGACUUUUUCUUUUAAAGAACUAGAAUUAGACGACCCCAGAGAUAAUGCUGACAUGAGUAACGAUAAAGGGAUAAUAUCCCUCGCCUUAAGCUUAUGGUUUUUUUAAUGUAACGGCCACUAAGUGUUAACUCUAAAGGGUUAUACGAUGAUAAUAUCAUAAUUAUAAGAUAAUAACUUUAUUUAGUGAAUAAAGUGCAGGAAAAACUUAUGAUUUAACAUACCGUACCUAAAUUCUACCUCCAGUAAGCUAGUAGAGUAUACGAAGGCGUUUGAGUGAACAAUUAUAAAGGAACUCGGCAAAUUGGCUCCGUAACUUAGGGAUAAGGAGCACCACUUUACUUGAUUAAUAGCAAGUAAAGGAGGUAGCAUAAAAUCGUGUUGUACGACUGUUUAAUUAAAACACAGCACUUCGCUAAAAGGAAACUUGAUGUAUUGAGUGUGAUGUCUGCCCGAUGCUAUAAGUAUAAACAUUUAACUUAACUAUAAUAGGUUAAGCGAUAAUUAACCUGUAGUCAAUGGCGGCCUUAACUAUGAGGGUCCUAAGGUAGCGGAAUACCCUGGCCGUUAAAUGCGGUCUUGCAUGAAUGAUUUAACGAUACAACAGCUGUCUCUAUAAUUGGCUCAGUGAAAUUGGAAUAACUGUGAAGAUACAGUUUACCUCUAGAUAGACGAGAAGACCCUAUGCAGCUUUACUGCGACUAGUUAUAGGGUAUAAUGUAAUGGGUUAUUAGAGUAUAAGGUAAUUUAUUUACAGUUGAAACACCUUUACACCAUUUUUAUACUUUUUACCUCUAUAGGUACAAUUGCUAGGGGGCAGUUUAUGCGGGGCACAGAUCCCAUAAAAAGUAACUGGGAAUAUCCAAUGUUAGUCUAGUAAAUUAAAAAAUAAUAGAUUAUUAUUUUUUAUAUUUAACUUGUUAUUAGUUAUAUUAAUAUUUCUAACUCAACUAUUAUCCUAUUCAUUUAGGGUUAUAAUUUUUAUUUAAGUAAGAUUUUAGCUAUCAAAAUGUAGCGAUAAAAUAAACAUUAGCUUUAGUAAUGUUUUUUGUUGUUAAUUCUUAUUAACGAUUUUUAUUAAUAUCAGACAAAGCUUAAUGGUUUAAUCUUGCUAUACUGUUUAACUUACACGUUAUUCAGUCGCGUAAAGCGGGGCAUAUGAUCACAAGAUGCAGAAAGGAAAGGUCUUGGAUUAUUGAAAAAGCUACGCUAGGGAUUAAGUCUUAGUCCUCCUUAGUAAUACAAUUACAGGUAAUAAACUGGACAAAUUUCAAAAAAUACUAUAAAGUAGAUUUGAAGCGAAACAUCCUUAAGGAUGAACGUUCAACGACUAAUGUUUUACAUCCAGCUUUUGUAAUUUAUUGUUUCCAUAUUUGCUAUCAAUUUUAUAAGCUUAUUAUAAGCUAAUGAUUUAUGCUAAUGUU